This is a non-coding RNA of Vicia faba (fava bean), 423 nucleotides long. Lineage: Eukaryota; Viridiplantae; Streptophyta; Magnoliopsida; Fabales; Fabaceae. The record is from the annotation of a GenBank genome assembly.
AUGGCGGGAGGUUUCUUUCGUAUCAAGAGUGUGUUGGGGAGGCCUGGGAAAGACGGAUUGGAUCGAGAGGCGAUGCCUACUCUACUCGUUACCACUAAACGACGAAGCCAAGAGCGGAAGGAGGGACUUGAACCCUCAACCUCAGCCUUGGCAAGGCUAUGCUCUACCAUUAAGCUAUUUCCGCCAGCUACGCGCGCUUUACUUGGAGGUUCGCGCAUCCUCUUGCUGGGAGAGGGGCUAAUGCCACUCGACUGGUUGGAGAGGGGUGAAGUGAGAGUCAGGGGAAUGGGCUUUUUCAGCUGGUGCGCUAACGCGCACUUCCGUUUUCCCUUUAUUAGUAGGGGGUCCCGUGGUUCCUAUGCCGCCGCGUUUCCCGGUCCUUUUCUUUUAGUGCUUCGACCCGAAGCGAUAGCUUCUAGCUAG